This 228-nucleotide ribosomal RNA is filed under the name uncultured bacterium. RNAcentral's name for it is "partial 16S ribosomal RNA". It matches the Rfam family "Bacterial small subunit ribosomal RNA", at positions 1273 to 1500 of the family's 1533-position model. The record is from RNAcentral.
CUCAAAAAAUAGAUCUCAGUUCGGACUGUAGGCUGCAACUCGCCUACACGAAGUUGGAAUUGCUAGUAAUCGUGGAUCAGCAUGCCACGGUGAAUACGUUCCCGGGUCUUGUACACACCGCCCGUCACACCAUGGGAGCUGGUAACACCCGAAGUCAGUAGUCUAACCGCAAGGAGGACGCUGCCGAAGGUGGGAUUAGCGACUGGGGUGAAGUCGUAACAAGGUAUC